AUUUUCUGUUGUUAUAUAUAAAAAAAAUAUGAAUCUAGAUGCAAAUUAUUAACAAAAUAAAAUAUCAUAGAUUAAAUUAUUUUUGGAUUGAGAAUAGAGUUAAAGACAUAUUUGUCAUUUUUGUUAAAUUGAAUGGAAAAUUUGUAGGUUUAUUAAAACGUUUGUAACUAAAUUACUAGGAUAAAGCUAUUAAACAAAACCUUGAAGGCUAAAUUGUUAAUAAAAUAAAUUUUAAGGGCUAAAUUAAUUUAAAAACUAUAGGGACCAAUAAGUUGUAGGUUUAAGGAAACUUAAUAGACUAAAUUAUAAUUUAUUUAUUAUUA
This 323-nucleotide unclassified non-coding RNA is filed under the name Hevea brasiliensis (rubber tree). Lineage: Eukaryota; Viridiplantae; Streptophyta; Magnoliopsida; Malpighiales; Euphorbiaceae. The record is from RNAcentral.